GAAUUCUUCGUGAAAAUCAAACAAGAUGAUAUCAUUGCACUGUCUGUGAACCCUAAAACGCCCUAUAAAUGUCAGCUAUUUUCAUGGCUUAUGGGUGAGGCUGAGGCCCUAGAGGAAAGAAGGGCCUGCUAGAAACCCAUUCACCUAUUCAACCCAUUCCCCAAAUGCUCUCCAGACUGGCAUAUUUGGCAUAUUUUGUCCCCUGUAACACUCUUACUUCUGGCUUAUUUCCUCCCCUCCUUAAACCAGAAAAAUGACAUUUCUACUCAUAUCCCCAUGAGAAUAUGAUAAAGGCUAAUGAGAAAACUGAGCAGAGAGGGGCAUAUGUUUCCCCAAUAAAAGAGUUUUAGUUAUUGUCAUGUGCUUUUUUUUUUAAUGCCCAAAGAUAAAUAAAUAAAUAAAUAAAACCCUCUCACUUAAUUUACAUAACCCUCCAUCAGGCAUACCAAUCCAUCUGGACACUUUCCAAAUGUUUAAACAGGAACUGAAUCAACUUGGAAGAAAACAAGCCUAAACCAGCUUAACUUCAGUCUCGAUGGGGAUCAUUAUUUUGAGCCCUAUCAUGUGGCAAUGACCCCCAAUCUUACUUGUCAGUGGAAAAAAAUAUAAUCAUAGAAUGUCCAAGCAGGAAAGGAUCUUUACAAUCAUGGGGCCCAAAGCUCUGAGUUUUCUGCGAUGAAGAAAUGAGAAAAAAAAAUGCUAAGUGACUUGAAUCAGUUAAAGCAAGCAUUUCUUAAAUUACUGCUAUGUGCCAAGCACUGUGCUAGGUGUUAGAGAUGAAGAAGAAGAAGAAGAAGAAGAAGAAGAAGAAGAAGAAGAAGAAGAAGAAGAAGAAGAAGAAGAAGAAGAAGAAGGAGGAGGAGGAGGAGGAGGAGGAGGAGGAGGAGGAGGAGAGGAGGAGGAGGAGGAGGAGGAGGAGGAGGAGGAGGAGAGGAGGAGAGAGGAGCAGGAAGAGAGAAAAGAAAAGGAAGAAACAGUUUCUGAAACAUUCUGUGGAGAGAAACUUCAGUGUAAAGGGAAGAAGAGGAAGCAGCCUGUGAACCUGCUGGGCC
RNAcentral lists this long non-coding RNA (1052 nucleotides) under Phascolarctos cinereus (koala). RNAcentral's name for it is "lncRNA (ENSPCIG00000032964.1)". Lineage: Eukaryota; Metazoa; Chordata; Mammalia; Diprotodontia; Phascolarctidae. The record is from RNAcentral.